Molecule: long non-coding RNA, 393 nt
Filed under: Panax ginseng (ginseng)
Lineage: Eukaryota; Viridiplantae; Streptophyta; Magnoliopsida; Apiales; Araliaceae
Description: long non-coding RNA (PGIN_LNC017448)
Source: RNAcentral
GAAUUUUCAUUUGGAUUGGUACUUCUGAAGUUGUUGAUAUUUGCUUUGAAAUUUCCUCCUUGCGUCUUUGGUUUGAAAAAUUGUUUGCCUUUGUUGAAGUUGUUGUUUGUCUUCAUAAAAGCUUUGCCAUAUUUUCUUUCUUUUCUUUGAAUUACUCGUCUGAGUUAUCUGGACAGUAGAGCAACUUCGUUGUUGUCUAGACUAAGAAGUUCUUCAUUUAAUUCUUCAUCGUCACUUUCUUGAUCCACCAGGAGAGCUUUGAAGGAGAUUCCUUUCUUUUUGAGAUCUAUGUCUGAUCCAGUUUUCUCAACGAACAUAUCGACUUCGUGGGCACGAAGAUUUCCAAUGAGAUUAUCCAUAGGAUAUGUGGUUAGAUCUUGCAUUUCUUUUAUU